This 253-nucleotide ribosomal RNA is filed under the name uncultured bacterium. RNAcentral's name for it is "partial 16S ribosomal RNA". It matches the Rfam family "Bacterial small subunit ribosomal RNA", at positions 524 to 776 of the family's 1533-position model. The record is from RNAcentral.
UACGAACCGUACAAACGUUAUUCGGAAUCACUGGGCUUAAAGGGCGCGUAGGCGGUGCGGUACGGUUUCGGUGAAAUCCCUCGGCCCAACCGAGGAACAGCCGGGGCUACGGCCGCACUAGACGGCAUCAGGGGACAGUGGAACUUCCGGUGGAGCGGUGAAAUGCGUAGAUAUCGGAAGGAACGCCGGUGGCGAAAGCGACUGUCUGGGGUGCCUGUGACGCUGAGGCGCGAAAGCCAGGGGAUCAAACGGG